CUGCAUAUGGAUUGGAUUUCACACAUUGCGGUAGCUCUCCUUUGGUGCUGAAAUGCAGCGAACCAUUUUGGUCAAAGGAAAAACGUUAUACUAGUAGCCAAACAAGGGCAAAGGCAAGAAUACGAGGAUUUAUCACUACAUCUAGAGGACAGUGACUACUGCAACUCUGUUGGCUGGCUCCCUGCUUAUGCCAUCAAACCCCUGCAACUUAUCCAGAACGUAGCAGCCGCCCGAUGUUCAACGUUCCCAUGUUCUCCCAUUUCACCCUGCUCCUCCGCACAGUCAACUGGUUUCCAGUCGAAGUUCGCAUCCCAUGCUGCCUGCCUACGGAGCAGAUAGAGGAACUGCCCCUCCCUAUCUUCAGGCUAUGCUCAAACCCUACACCCCAACCCGAGCACUCCGUUCUGCAGCCUCUUGGCCAUUCCACCUCUAUGAUGUGCCCUUGAGCAAGACGCUUAACCCUAAUUGCUCCUAAGGUCCAGCACCACCCUCCAGCACCAUCCUCCAGCGCCAUCCUCAGACAAUUGCUUUCAUUUUUGGUGUAAUUCUCAUUUGUGGAAAAUGCUUAAAAUAAAGGUUAAAGUACAGGUCAUAUGACGCGAUCAAAACACAGAGCCCUAGCACGGGCCACACACCUUCAUUAACACUCAGUGCUCCUGACUCUACAGCUCAUUUUAAUUAAAUAAUUUGAUACACUUUCAAUCCAUGUUCUUUUCAAAGCUUGAGAUUUGGUUAGUACUGUAGGUCAACUAAGGGCUCCUAGACAUUUUCUAAUAGUCAUGUUCCAUUUGCUUCAUUAUGUCUGCUUGUGAUAAAAGUAAACGUUACACCAUGCAGGGUUACUUGUGUAACAGUUGCCUUGCAAUGUACCUCUACGAUGAUGUGAUAUUCAACAAGAAACAACAUUUGUAAAAAAGGUGGUUCUAUUAUGAUCCUUUUUUCUGUUCUUCUAAUCUCUGACUCAGUUGAUUUGAUUUCAGUUUGAGUCAUGGAUCUGUGAGUCACCAAUUGUCUUACAAUUGUAGUCAAUAAACAGAGUACAGAACAGCAAUCAGGAGAAACAACAAUUCUGUAUAUACAAUCCUAAUUCUGCAAUUAUGCUGGCAUGUUUAACCUUCCUCCUCUUCUUCUGCUACUAUUGUACUCUACCUACUGUAGAGUACAGUAGCAGGGCAUCUGCCCUCUCCUGCCCUUGAUUUCUGAGCAAAGACUAGAUAACAAUCGAGAAGAAUGUCAGUAACUGUUCAUGUCACACUGAAA
Long non-coding RNA from Oncorhynchus keta (chum salmon), 1260 nucleotides. RefSeq lists it as uncharacterized. The record is from RefSeq and is a predicted model, not a curated record. NCBI's taxonomy places the organism in Eukaryota, Metazoa, Chordata, Actinopteri, Salmoniformes, Salmonidae. The transcript is spliced from 3 exons.